UGGGGGAUAUUGCACAAUGGGCGAAAGCCUGAUGCAGCGACGCCGCGUGGGGGAUGAAGGCUUUCGGGUUGUAAACCUCUUUCGCUAUCGAACAAGGCCCGCUUAGGGUGGGUUGAGGGUAGGUGGAGAAGAAGCGCCGGCUAACUACGUGCCAGCAGCCGCGGUAAUACGUAGGGCGCGAGCGUUGUCCGGAAUUAUUGGGCGUAAAGGGCUUGUAGGCGCCUUGUUGCGCCUGCUGUGAAAACGCGGGGCUUAACUUCGCGCGUGCAGUGGGUACGGGCAGGCUUGAGUGUGGUAGGGGUGACUGGAAUUCCAGGUGUAGCGGUGGAAUGCGCAGAUAUCUGGAGGAACACCGAUGGCGAAGGCAGGUCACUGGGCCAUUACUGACGCUGAGGAGCGAAAGCAUGGGUAGCGAACAGG
RNAcentral lists this ribosomal RNA (420 nucleotides) under bacterium. Its description in RNAcentral is "partial 16S ribosomal RNA". It matches the Rfam family "Bacterial small subunit ribosomal RNA", at positions 355 to 776 of the family's 1533-position model. The record is from RNAcentral.